CCCUUAGAUGUCCUGGGCUGCACGCGCGCUACACUGAUGUGUCCAGUAAGCACCUAACCUAUUCCGAGAGGAGCGGGUAACCUUAGCAAAGCACAUCGUGAUGGGGAUAGAUUAUUGCAAUUAUUAGUCCUGAACGAGGAAUUCCUAGUAAGCACAAGUCAUCAGCUUGUGUUGAUUACGUCCCUGCCCUUUGUACACACCGCCCGUCGCUCCUACCGAUUGAAUGUUCCGGUGAGCUCUUCGGACUGCGCGGUCUGCAGUUUCUGCGUUCCGUGCGGAAAGUUGUGCAAACCUUAACAUUUAGAGGAAGGAGAAGUCGUAACA
RNAcentral lists this ribosomal RNA (324 nucleotides) under uncultured eukaryote. Its description in RNAcentral is "partial 18S ribosomal RNA". It matches the Rfam family "Eukaryotic small subunit ribosomal RNA", at positions 1470 to 1796 of the family's 1831-position model. The record is from RNAcentral.